CCUACGGGAGGCAGCAGUGAGGAAUAUUGGUCAAUGGACGAGAGUCUGAACCAGCCAAGUAGCGUGAAGGAUGACUGCCCUAUGGGUUGUAAACUUCUUUUAUAUGGGAAUAAAAUGUUCCACGUGUGGGAUUUUGUACGUACCAUAAGAAUAAGGAUCGGCUAACUCCGUGCCAGCAGCCGCGGUAAUACGGAGGAUCCGAGCGUUAUCCGGAUUUAUUGGGUGUAAAGGGAGCGUAGGUGGAUUGUUAAGUCAGUUGUGAAAGUUUGGGGCUCAACCGUAAAAUUGCAGUUGAAACUGGCAGUCUGGAGUGCAGGAGAGGUGAGCGGAAUUCGUGGUGUAGCGGUGAAAUGCUUAGAUAUCACGAAGAACUCCGAUUGCGAAGGCAGUUCACUGGACUGCAACUGACGCUGAGGCUCGAAAGUGUGGGUAUCAAACAGGAUUAGAUACCCCGGUAGUC
This 460-nucleotide ribosomal RNA is filed under the name uncultured bacterium. RNAcentral describes it as "partial 16S ribosomal RNA". It matches the Rfam family "Bacterial small subunit ribosomal RNA", at positions 338 to 795 of the family's 1533-position model. The record is from RNAcentral.